This 1516-nucleotide ribosomal RNA is filed under the name Phocaeicola vulgatus. RNAcentral's name for it is "bacterial SSU rRNA". It matches the Rfam family "Bacterial small subunit ribosomal RNA". Lineage: Bacteria; Pseudomonadati; Bacteroidota; Bacteroidia; Bacteroidales; Bacteroidaceae. The record is from RNAcentral.
AGAGUUUGAUCCUGGCUCAGGAUGAACGCUAGCUACAGGCUUAACACAUGCAAGUCGAGGGGCAGCAUGGUCUUAGCUUGCUAAGGCCGAUGGCGACCGGCGCACGGGUGAGUAACACGUAUCCAACCUGCCGUCUACUCUUGGACAGCCUUCUGAAAGGAAGAUUAAUACAAGAUGGCAUCAUGAGUCCGCAUGUUCACAUGAUUAAAGGUAUUCCGGUAGACGAUGGGGAUGCGUUCCAUUAGAUAGUAGGCGGGGUAACGGCCCACCUAGUCUUCGAUGGAUAGGGGUUCUGAGAGGAAGGUCCCCCACAUUGGAACUGAGACACGGUCCAAACUCCUACGGGAGGCAGCAGUGAGGAAUAUUGGUCAAUGGGCGAGAGCCUGAACCAGCCAAGUAGCGUGAAGGAUGACUGCCCUAUGGGUUGUAAACUUCUUUUAUAAAGGAAUAAAGUCGGGUAUGGAUACCCGUUUGCAUGUACUUUAUGAAUAAGGAUCGGCUAACUCCGUGCCAGCAGCCGCGGUAAUACGGAGGAUCCGAGCGUUAUCCGGAUUUAUUGGGUUUAAAGGGAGCGUAGAUGGAUGUUUAAGUCAGUUGUGAAAGUUUGCGGCUCAACCGUAAAAUUGCAGUUGAUACUGGAUAUCUUGAGUGCAGUUGAGGCAGGCGGAAUUCGUGGUGUAGCGGUGAAAUGCUUAGAUAUCACGAAGAACUCCGAUUGCGAAGGCAGCCUGCUAAGCUGCAACUGACAUUGAGGCUCGAAAGUGUGGGUAUCAAACAGGAUUAGAUACCCUGGUAGUCCACACGGUAAACGAUGAAUACUCGCUGUUUGCGAUAUACGGCAAGCGGCCAAGCGAAAGCGUUAAGUAUUCCACCUGGGGAGUACGCCGGCAACGGUGAAACUCAAAGGAAUUGACGGGGGCCCGCACAAGCGGAGGAACAUGUGGUUUAAUUCGAUGAUACGCGAGGAACCUUACCCGGGCUUAAAUUGCAGAUGAAUUACGGUGAAAGCCGUAAGCCGCAAGGCAUCUGUGAAGGUGCUGCAUGGUUGUCGUCAGCUCGUGCCGUGAGGUGUCGGCUUAAGUGCCAUAACGAGCGCAACCCUUGUUGUCAGUUACUAACAGGUUCUGCUGAGGACUCUGACAAGACUGCCAUCGUAAGAUGUGAGGAAGGUGGGGAUGACGUCAAAUCAGCACGGCCCUUACGUCCGGGGCUACACACGUGUUACAAUGGGGGGUACAGAGGGCCGCUACCACGCGAGUGGAUGCCAAUCCCAAAAACCUCUCUCAGUUCGGACUGGAGUCUGCAACCCGACUCCACGAAGCUGGAUUCGCUAGUAAUCGCGCAUCAGCCACGGCGCGGUGAAUACGUUCCCGGGCCUUGUACACACCGCCCGUCAAGCCAUGGGAGCCGGGGGUACCUGAAGUGCGUAACCGCGAGGAGCGCCCUAGGGUAAAACUGGUGACUGGGGCUAAGUCGUAACAAGGUAGCCGUACCGGAAGGUGCGGCUGGAACACCU